CUCCGCUUGGUGUAGUUGGUUUGUAUGUCUAUCCCACUCUUCUCCUAUAAUAACUCAUCACUAACACUCUCUCAGAUCACGUUCGACUGUAAUAGCAAUUGUUAUCGAAAGGUCCCUAGUUCGAUUCUGGGAGCGGAGA
Molecule: non-coding RNA, 139 nt
Organism: Plenodomus lindquistii
Lineage: Eukaryota; Fungi; Ascomycota; Dothideomycetes; Pleosporales; Leptosphaeriaceae
Source: the annotation of a GenBank genome assembly